GAGGACACUCGGCCGUGCUUCUCGCUCAACCAAUUUAUAUCGUCAGGUGACAAAAUAGGGGAAGGGGGGGGAAAAAAAAACAUCAAAUAAAAUGCAGGAGCAGCCUCCUGGAGCAAGAGGCGGCAAUAAGAGGCGCAGGUGGCCCCCUUGGCGAUGAUAAAUUCCGAGUGAUUUAUGGGUGACAGCAAUGCUUCUUUGGCACGUCACUUACGACCUUGAGGCAACAAGCUGAAUCAACAUCUCCUCUGCUGUUGGCAACAAAGUUGGGUUGUCCUGGCGUCGCUUCUGAGACGAGAAUGGUGGCUCUUCACCCAGGCCCCGUGUUCUUUCCGAUGUGUAAUUGCUCCGCCGCAGAGACAAAACAAAAUGCUGUCGACAUUGUUCAGGGGAGUGUCGGCGACGUCCAAGGGUGAUUGAUUCUCAACGAGCGUGUCAUUACCAAUGAGGAGACGCAGAAACAGGACAUUUGUGGCGGCACGGUGGAUCAGCUGGUAAAGCGUUGGCCUCACAGUUCCCGAUCCCGCCUGUGUGGAGUUUACAUGUUCUCCGCUUGCCUGCGUGGGUUUCCUCCGGGCACUCCG
This is a long non-coding RNA of Syngnathoides biaculeatus (alligator pipefish), 581 nucleotides long. RefSeq lists it as uncharacterized. Lineage: Eukaryota; Metazoa; Chordata; Actinopteri; Syngnathiformes; Syngnathidae. The record is from RefSeq and is a predicted model, not a curated record. The transcript is spliced from 4 exons.